RNAcentral lists this ribosomal RNA (372 nucleotides) under uncultured organism. Its description in RNAcentral is "partial 16S ribosomal RNA". It matches the Rfam family "Bacterial small subunit ribosomal RNA", at positions 527 to 896 of the family's 1533-position model. The record is from RNAcentral.
GUAGGUGGCAAGCGUUGUCCGGAAUUAUUGGGGCGUAAAGCGCGCGCAGGCGGUUCUUUAAGUCUGAUGUGAAAGCCCACGGGCUCAACCGUGAGGUCAUUGGAAACUGGAGAACUUGAGUACAGAAGAGGAAAGCGGAAUUCCACGUGUAGCGGUGAAAUGCGUAGAGAUGUGGAGGAACACCAGUGGCGAAGGCGGCUUUCUGGUCUGUAACUGACGCUGAGGCGCGAAAGCGUGGGGAGCAAACAGGAUUAGAUACCCUGGUAGUCCACGCCGUAAACGAUGAGUGCUAAGUGUUAGGGGGUUUCCGCCCCUUAGUGCUGCAGCUAACGCAUUAAGCACUCCGCCUGGGGAGUACGGCCGCAAAGGCUG